Non-coding RNA from Helianthus annuus (common sunflower), 116 nucleotides. The record is from Rfam. Lineage: Eukaryota; Viridiplantae; Streptophyta; Magnoliopsida; Asterales; Asteraceae.
AUCCACACAGUGAGCACAAAGCGAACUAUGCUUUCGCCUUUUACUAAAGAAUACUGUGAGCUUGCUGCAUCAAGUGUCUUCAACUUUUUAUUGAUACUGAUGCAAUUUUUAACCAA